UACGGAGGAUCCAAGCGUUAUCCGGAUUCAUUGGGUUUAAAGGGUGCGUAGGCGGAAUGAUAAGUCAGUGGUGAAAUCCUGCAGCUUAACUGCAGAACUGCCUCUGAUACUGUCAAUCUUGAGUACAUUUGAUGUGGGCGGAAUGUGUCAUGUAGCGGUGAAAUGCAUAGAUAUGACACAGAACACCGAUUGCGAAGGCAGCUCACAAAACUGUAACUGACGCUGAGGCACGAAAGCGUGGGGAUCAAACAGG
RNAcentral lists this ribosomal RNA (253 nucleotides) under uncultured bacterium. RNAcentral describes it as "partial 16S ribosomal RNA". It matches the Rfam family "Bacterial small subunit ribosomal RNA", at positions 524 to 776 of the family's 1533-position model. The record is from RNAcentral.